RNAcentral lists this ribosomal RNA (482 nucleotides) under uncultured bacterium. RNAcentral's name for it is "partial 16S ribosomal RNA". It matches the Rfam family "Bacterial small subunit ribosomal RNA", at positions 30 to 507 of the family's 1533-position model. The record is from RNAcentral.
AUUGAACGCUGGCGGCAUGCUUUACACAUGCAAGUCGAACGGUAACAGGCCGCAAGGUGCUGACGAGUGGCGAACGGGUGAGUAAUGCAUCGGAACGUGCCCAGUCGUGGGGGAUAACUACUCGAAAGAGUAGCUAAUACCGCAUACGAUCUAUGGAUGAAAGCGGGGGACCGUAAGGCCUCGCGCGAUUGGAGCGGCCGAUGUCAGAUUAGGUAGUUGGUGGGGUAAAGGCUCACCAAGCCAACGAUCUUUAGCUGGUCUGAGAGGACGACCAGCCACACUGGGACUGAGACACGGCCCAGACUCCUACGGGAGGCAGCAGUGGGGAAUUUUGGACAAUGGGCGCAAGCCUGAUCCAGCAAUGCCGCGUGCAGGAAGAAGGCCUUCGGGUUGUAAACUGCUUUUGUACGGAACGAAACGGCUCUGGUUAAUACCCGGGGCUAAUGACGGUACCGUAAGAAUAAGCACCGGCUAACUACGUG